CAGUAGCCACGGUAAUACGUAGGUGGCAAGCGUUGUCCGGAUUUAUUGGGCGUAAAGCGAGCGCAGGCGGUCAAUUAAGUCUGAUGUGAAAGCCCCCGGCUCAACCGGGGAGGGUCAUUGGAAACUGGUUGACUUGAGCGCAGAAGAGGAGAGUGGAAUUCCACGUGUAGCGGUGAAAUGCGUAGAGAUGUGGAGGAACACCAGUGGCGAAGGCGACUCUCUGGUCUGUAACUGACGCUGAGGAGCGAAAGCGUGGGAAGCGAACAGGAUUAGAUACCCCCGUAGUCCCUGUCUCUUAUAC
This 301-nucleotide ribosomal RNA is filed under the name uncultured bacterium. Its description in RNAcentral is "partial 16S ribosomal RNA". It matches the Rfam family "Bacterial small subunit ribosomal RNA", at positions 509 to 807 of the family's 1533-position model. The record is from RNAcentral.